GCGUAAUAGCUCACUGGUCGAGUCGGCCUGCGCGGAAGAUGUAACGGGGCUAAACCAUGCACCGAAGCUGCGGCAGCGACACUAUGUGUUGUUGGGUAGGGGAGCGUUCUGUAAGCCUGCGAAGGUGACCUGUGAGGGUUGCUGGAGGUAUCAGAAGUGCGAAUGCUGACAUAAGUAACGAUAAAGCGGGUGAAAAGCCCGCUCGCCGGAAGACCAAGGGUUCCUGUCCAACGUUAAUCGGGGCAGGGUGAGUCGACCCCUAAGGCGAGGCCGAAAGGCGUAGUCGAUGGGAAACAGGUUAAUAUUCCUGUACUUGGUGUUACUGCGAAGGGGGGACGGAGAAGGCUAUGUUAGCCGGGCGACGGUUGUCCCGGUUUAAGCAUGUAGGCUGGUUGUCCAGGCAAAUCCGGAUAAUCAAGGCUGAGGUGUGAUGACGAGGCACUACGGUGCUGAAGUAACAAAUGCCCUGCUUCCAGGAAAAGCCUCUAAGCAUCAGGUAACAUCAAAUCGUACCCCAAA
RNAcentral lists this ribosomal RNA (519 nucleotides) under Klebsiella pneumoniae. RNAcentral's name for it is "partial 23S ribosomal RNA". It matches the Rfam family "Bacterial large subunit ribosomal RNA", at positions 1132 to 1653 of the family's 2925-position model. The record is from RNAcentral. Lineage: Bacteria; Pseudomonadati; Pseudomonadota; Gammaproteobacteria; Enterobacterales; Enterobacteriaceae.